CCUACGGGCGGCUGCAGUGGGGAAUAUUGGACAAUGGGGGCAACCCUGAUCCAGCCAUGCCGCGUGUGUGAAGAAGGCCCUCGGGUUGUAAAGCACUUUCAGUGAGGAAGAACGCCUGGUGGUUAAUACCCAUCAGGAAAGACAUCACUCACAGAAGAAGCACCGGCUAACUCCGUGCCAGCAGCCGCGGUAAUACGGAGGGUGCGAGCGUUAAUCGGAAUUACUGGGCGUAAAGCGCGCGUAGGUGGCUUGAUAAGCCGGUUGUGAAAGCCCCGGGCUCAACCUGGGAACGGCAUCCGGAACUGUCAAGCUAGAGUGCAGGAGAGGAAGGUAGAAUUCCCGGUGUAGCAGUGAAAUGCGUAGAGAUCGGGAGGAAUACCAGUGGCGAAGGCGGCCUUCUGGACUGACACUGACACUGAGGUGCGAAAGCGUGGGUAGCAAACAGGAUUAGAUACCCCAGUAGUC
Molecule: ribosomal RNA, 465 nt
Filed under: Vreelandella stevensii
Lineage: Bacteria; Pseudomonadati; Pseudomonadota; Gammaproteobacteria; Oceanospirillales; Halomonadaceae
Description: partial 16S ribosomal RNA
Rfam family: Bacterial small subunit ribosomal RNA
Source: RNAcentral